AAUGGUUUCACCAUCAACUCUUGCCGUCCCAAAAACCUUUAAUGACCUUGAAUGAGAUUUUUUUAUAACAACAAACUUUUUGUUAGGUGGAUUCAUUGUUGGGAAAUCCGCAACUUCCAAAAGCCAAACUUAUUCAUGGGAAUUGAAUUGCUUUUCAUAGACUCAAAGGUAUUCUUACAAAUUUAAAUUAAUCUAAUCCAUAAUUUUAUUGUUAAUAUUCAUACUAACUCUUUCAUGAUAAAACCAUUUCAGUUAAUAAACAUUCAAG
Molecule: long non-coding RNA, 268 nt
Filed under: Brassica rapa (field mustard)
Lineage: Eukaryota; Viridiplantae; Streptophyta; Magnoliopsida; Brassicales; Brassicaceae
Description: long non-coding RNA (BRAP_LNC006114)
Source: RNAcentral